AGCACAGAAUAUGCUGCGUUGGAAGGGACCCACAGGAUCAUCGAGUCCAGCUCCUAGCCCUGCACAGGGCAGCCCCAAGAGUCACCCCGUGUGCCUGAGAGGACUGUCCAAACGUUUCUUGAACUCUGUCACGCUGGUGCUGUGACCGCUGCUCUGGGGAGCGGGGAACUUCCCUAUUCCUAGAGAGCAGUGGUGUGGUCCAUGUCAAGAUUGAUGAAGAGGAAGGCAGAAGAGUAUCAAGAAAAGCAGUAGGAACAGAUAACACAAAAGCAUGACACACCAGCCUUUCCUAAAAGAGGAAGGCAAUAAUAGUAUAUACCCUACCUUUCUCUUCCAUGAGGCAAGGGCAGAUGUUUAAAGUCACAUAAUGCAUUUAAGAUGUUUCAUUCUUUCAAGAAGUAAUUCACAGUAAUACAUCAGCACAUUCAUCCAUCCAAUUCCAUUUAAUUAACAUUUUGGAAAAUAAGUCCACCUACAUAUCCUUAACUGCAGAAAAAAAAUUUUAAAGAUAUGAGUUAAUUGACCAGACAAUAAACCUAUCUAUCCUUCC
This is a long non-coding RNA of Vidua chalybeata, 550 nucleotides long. RefSeq lists it as uncharacterized. The transcript is spliced from 2 exons. Lineage: Eukaryota; Metazoa; Chordata; Aves; Passeriformes; Viduidae. The record is from RefSeq and is a predicted model, not a curated record.